GACGAACGCUGGCGGCGUGCCUAAUACAUGCAAGUAGAACGCUGAAGAGAGGAGCUUGCUCUUCUUGGAUGAGUUGCGAACGGGUGAGUAACGCGUAGGUAACCUGCCUUGUAGCGGGGGAUAACUAUUGGAAACGAUAGCUAAUACCGCAUAACAAUGGAUGACACAUGUCAUUUAUUUGAAAGGGGCAAUUGCUCCACUACAAGAUGGACCUGCGUUGUAUUAGCUAGUAGGUGAGGUAAUGGCUCACCUAGGCGACGAUACAUAGCCGACCGUGGAGGGGGAUCGGCCCCACUGGGACCGAGACCCGGCCCAGACUCCUACGGGAGGCAGCAGUAGGGAAUCUUCGGCAAUGGGGGCAACCCUGACCGAGCAACGCCGCGUGAGUGAAGAAGGUUUUCGGAUCGUAAAGCUCUGUUGUAAGUCAAGAACGGGUGUGAGAGUGGAAAGUUCACACUGUGACGGUAGCUUACCAGAAAGGGACGGCUAACUACGUG
RNAcentral lists this ribosomal RNA (497 nucleotides) under uncultured bacterium. RNAcentral's name for it is "partial 16S ribosomal RNA". It matches the Rfam family "Bacterial small subunit ribosomal RNA", at positions 28 to 507 of the family's 1533-position model. The record is from RNAcentral.